This 30-nucleotide non-coding RNA is filed under the name Homo sapiens (human). Lineage: Eukaryota; Metazoa; Chordata; Mammalia; Primates; Hominidae. The record is from RNAcentral.
UCCUGCAGAUGGCGGGGCAGACCUGUGUGC